RNAcentral lists this ribosomal RNA (490 nucleotides) under uncultured bacterium. Its description in RNAcentral is "partial 16S ribosomal RNA". It matches the Rfam family "Bacterial small subunit ribosomal RNA", at positions 29 to 507 of the family's 1533-position model. The record is from RNAcentral.
AGUGAACGCUGGCGGUAGGCCUAACACAUGCAAGUCGAACGGCAGCACAGGAGAGCUUGCUCUCUAGGUGGCGAGUGGCGGACGGGUGAGGAAUACAUCGGAAUCUGCCCAGUCGUGGGGGAUAACGUAGGGAAACUUACGCUAAUACCGCAUACGACCUUCGGGUGAAAGAGGGGGAUCGCAAGACCUCUCGCGAUUGGAUGAGCCGAUGUCGGAUUAGCUAGUUAGCGGGGUAAUGGCCCACCAAGGCGACGAUCCGUAGCUGGUCGGAGAGGAUGAUCAGCCACACUGGAACUGAGACACGGUCCAGACUCCUACGGGAGGCAGCAGUGGGGAAUAUUGGACAAUGGGCGCAAGCCUGAUCCAGCCAUACCGCGUGGGUGAAGAAGGCCUUCGGGUUGUAAAGCCCUUUUGUUGGGAAAGAAAUCUUUCAGGCUAAUACCCUGGGAGGAUGACGGUACCCAAAGAAUAAGCACCGGCUAACUUCGUG